This 375-nucleotide long non-coding RNA is filed under the name Homo sapiens (human). Its description in RNAcentral is "HSALNT0409272". The record is from RNAcentral. Lineage: Eukaryota; Metazoa; Chordata; Mammalia; Primates; Hominidae.
CUCUGAAGGAAGCUUUUGUGUCAUCUGACAGGAAUCAUUGAACACUGACUGGACUCCAGCACAAUGCAGCUCGUUUUCACUGUCUGAAUUUCGUCUGCACCCAUGAAAAGCAAGUCAGAGGUGUGAGAAGACUGCUUCACCUUGGACUUGCCUUUGUUGUGUUUUGUGUUUUUUCUAGAGAGCCACUGCAAGGCCCAGGAUGAAGAGAGACAGUGAGAAGAUCCCAACCAUUUAUCACUGACACCGGCAUCUGUGGUCUCAGAAUGAAAUCCCAAAAUGAUGCAGGAGUGCCCCCUCGUGACUUGAAGCACCUGCUCAGCUGGAAACUGAAUUUCAGAUCCUUCCAGCGGUCCCUGCAGUCGGGUCCAGUGGAGA